This 86-nucleotide non-coding RNA is filed under the name [Bacillus] enclensis. Its description in RNAcentral is "Bacillus enclensis c-di-GMP sequence". It matches the Rfam family "c-di-GMP-I riboswitch aptamer". Rfam says of the family: GEMM was predicted in a large-scale screen for bacterial structured RNA regulatory elements. The record is from RNAcentral. Lineage: Bacteria; Bacillati; Bacillota; Bacilli; Caryophanales; Bacillaceae.
AUGUGAAAAGGGCAAAGCCAUUGAAAGAUGGUGACGCAAAGCUACAGGGGCUUCUGUUCAAAUGACAAUGCCAGCCAGCUGCCGAG